CAUGAACCAUUGCACCUGGCCACAAAGAGGCGAUAUUGUAAUACCCAAUGGAAGGAUGGGGUCAUGGACGUCAUGAAAAAGCCAGGGUAAAACUAUCCACAGUUAAUAAUGCAGAAAAACAUACUGUAGUGUGUUUGAUUUAAAAUUCCUGGGAUUUAAUGUACAAAGCUUUAGAACCAGUCCAAUCCAUGCAAGACAAAAUCAACCAGGCUGCUGUUUGGCUUUGUAAAUGGCUGAGAUGUAACUUAAGAGAGGGAAGCUUUUGAUUGUAAAUAACCUCCCAGCCUUCAUGCUGCUCUGACCUCUGACGUGGCCACUUGGCCAUUCUACAAUUUAAAUUUUACAACUGUGCUAUAAGUAAAACAUUGGCAACUAAUAUCUAAUAAUAAUAGUAACAAAGUAGAAUACACGAUCCAAGAAGAGCUGUCUUGAAAGGACAAAAGAAGACAUUGCAGCAUCCCCAUUUGCUGAGAGCCAUCACAGAAAUCAUAGGAAGCCAGCAAGAUGUCUAUUCUGAAACAUGUCUACUUGUCCUGAUACCUUUAAGCAUAAAAUGCUUCUACAUUCUCUAUGCAAGUGAAACACACCCCUAGGCAUAUACGAUGGACAGGGAAAUUUAAUUUUAUACUAGGGGAAUGAAGAGAUGGGAUAGGAAGAUAAAUGUCAAAUUGCUGCUUUGAGCUUUUUAUAGUAAUUCCUCUCUGCUCCCUUUUUGCCUUUCCUGACCUUUAGUGGACUGAGUCUUCUCCAUCAUCAUUAGAUCCUUCUGCUUUUAACACAUGUCAAUGGCUUCCUAAGUUAGGGUACAAACUCCAGGACAACAAACCCAAGAAUGUUUAUCUAGAUUACUUUUCAAAAUCCAAUAUAGGUUGAGCAUUCUAAAUCUGAAAAUCCAAAAUGCUCCACAGUUCAAAACGUUUUGAUCACCACUGACAUGACGCUCAAAGGAAAUGCCCAUUGGAGCUUUUCAGAUUUCAGAUUUUCAGGUUUGGAGUGCUCAAUCAGGUAAGUAUAAUGCAAAUAUGACAAAACUCUCCCCAUAAUAAAAGGCCAAAAAUCUGAAACACAUUGGGUCCCAAGCUUUUGAGAUACGGAAUACUCAACCUGCUGUAUAAUGAAUAGUAAAUAGCAUGCAAUGGUGUAAAAUGUAAAAGUUACUUUUGUAUGAAGACAAAAAAUGCAAUUUAUUAGAGAAGACUCAUUUGAGCUCUGAUGUUUAGCAGUUGCUCUCUCUAGAUCACAAAUUAAAUCAUGGUAUUAAAAUCAUUAUGGGGCCAGUUUCUAAGCCUUUCUAUGUGCACUUGCAUUCCUGUGUGGGUUUAAUUAACCAGUGAGAAAAGGAAAAGGUUGGAGUUCUUUACUGGUGUUUGUAUUAUCUGUUGAUUGUUUUCCUUAGUGCUUUUUCCAGUCUAGAUUUAGAAGCUUGAGAAUGAAGACCACCAUUUCCACCUCUACCACAGGCUCUUGGAGCCUCAUUGACAUUUCCGGGAGAAUAAAGAACAUACUACUGGAGAGGCUGUAGCAUUUCUUCAAUAUCUGAAUGCCAUUAUUCUAUGUUUCCAUGAUUCUAAUUCUACUCCAUGCUCUGAUGCAUGCAAUUAACUCAUUGGAAAAUGGUCUUUCUUGACAUGACUGCUGAGUAUAGAAUGUAAAAGUUUCUGAUCACAAACUUUGAUGAAUACAGGGGUGAUUUCACUUCCUCUCCUGUAUUUCUCCACAUUGUAAUUGUCAGUUAUUAUUUUUAACACAAGUAAGCUUUCGAUUUAUCCUGAUUAUAAUGAUGUUGUAGGGCUCUGUUUUGCACUUUCAUGCCUAUUUUAGGAACGGAUAGGAUAGAGACAGUUAAAUCCAGUGACAAUCACUGCAACCCUCCCAGGAGUAUUCUGGGAAGAGGUGCUAUAUAAACACAAAGCAUUCUGCAAAAAUGGUUGUAUUCACCCUCAUAACAUCUCAUGAGGUAGAUGCACUGUGAACAUUGUUAAUAUAAAGCUGCUAGUGCCACAAAUAGAGCAGAGAUUAUUUUCUCUCCCUGCAUGGGGAAUGACACCAUUUUCCUCACAUUUCUUAAGAGGAAUUAUCCAUUGGACUGCUUUGUGAAUGGCAGCCUUGCAUGUAUUUGUCUGAUUGUUCACACUUGUAACCAAAAGACUUGUUUGAGAUGAAAAGCAAUAUCCUGGGCUUAAAAGUUUAUAUGUGUACAGGUGCUUCCCACUGCAAACCAAAUUGGAAAAGGCUAACAUAGGAUGCUAAAAUAAAAAUGAGUAGAACUGUUUAUUAGAGAAGAGCAUCUGUUGAACAAUGCUAUGAACACCUGUCACCUCUGGACGAUCACGCCUUCUAAUUGCGGGUCCUUGGCAUUACUCAUCACUGCCUUAAACAUUUUAAUCAAGAUUAUACUGUAACAACAUGAAUUUUAUCUUAGCAAUAAUGAUCAGAAAUGGUAGGCAAUGUAAUUGAAUCUAUUAUCAAUCCCUGAAUGAGGAGUUGACUCUUCUGUAAGGCCAAUCCCCUUGGCAGAUCAUGUAAAAAAAUAUUACUGGGCUGCCCCAGUGAAAUGUCAGAGCAUCCCUAGAGGGCAAUUCCUGGUAGCAUCAGAAAGAGUACAUAAAGAGAUAUAAAGUACAAGCUGCUCAUAAAGCAUUAUCCAGAAGCUAUCUGAAAAGAGAAAUUCAACAAAAGGGAUAUUUUCAUUGGAA
This 2696-nucleotide long non-coding RNA is filed under the name Homo sapiens (human). RNAcentral describes it as "HSALNT0158849". The record is from RNAcentral. Lineage: Eukaryota; Metazoa; Chordata; Mammalia; Primates; Hominidae.